RNAcentral lists this ribosomal RNA (116 nucleotides) under Candidatus Altarchaeales archaeon WOR_SM1_86-2. The record is from RNAcentral. Lineage: Archaea; Nanobdellati; Candidatus Altarchaeota; Candidatus Altarchaeia; Candidatus Altarchaeales.
GUCAACGGUCACAGAGGAGUGGAAACACCUGCACUCGUCCCGAACGCAGAAGUUAAGCGCUCCAUCGAUCCGGGUGGUACUGCAUAACAUGUGGGAAGCCCGGGACGCUGUUGACA